RNAcentral lists this ribosomal RNA (423 nucleotides) under uncultured bacterium. Its description in RNAcentral is "bacterial SSU rRNA". It matches the Rfam family "Bacterial small subunit ribosomal RNA", at positions 207 to 622 of the family's 1533-position model. The record is from RNAcentral.
AAGACCUUGCGCUUUUGGAGCGGCCGAUGUCUGAUUAGCUUGUUGGUGAGGUAAAGGCUUACCAAGGCUUCGAUCAGUAGCUGGUCUGAGAGGACGACCAGCCACACUGGGACUGAGACACGGCCCAGACUCCUACGGGAGGCAGCAGUGGGGAAUUUUGGACAAUGGGGGCAACCCUGAUCCAGCCAUGCCGCGUGAGUGAAGAAGGCCUUCGGGUUGUAAAGCUCUUUCAGCCGGAACGAAACGGUUACGGUUAAUACCCGUGACUACUGACGGUACCGGAAGAAGAAGCACCGGCUAACUACGUGCCAGCAGCCGCGGUAAUACGUAGGGUGCGAGCGUUAAUCGGAAUUACUGGGCGUAAAGCGUGCGCAGGUGGUUUUGUAAGUCAGAUGUGAAAGCCCCGGGCCCAACCUGGGAACU